ACAGAGGGUGCGAGCGUUGUCCGGAAUCACUGGGCGUAAAGGGCGCGUAGGCGGCUUGGUAAGUAGGGGGUGAAAUCUCAUGGCUCAACUGUGAGGCUGCCUUCUAGGCUGCUGAGCUCGAGCACAGUAGAGGCGAGUGGAAUUCCCGGUGUAGCGGUGGAAUGCGUAGAGAUCGGGAAGAACAUCGGUGGCGAAGGCGGCUCGCUGGGCUGUUGCUGACGCUGAUGCGCGAAAGCGUGGGGAGCAAACAGGA
RNAcentral lists this ribosomal RNA (253 nucleotides) under uncultured prokaryote. Its description in RNAcentral is "partial 16S ribosomal RNA". It matches the Rfam family "Bacterial small subunit ribosomal RNA", at positions 525 to 777 of the family's 1533-position model. The record is from RNAcentral.